UUAAUCUAAAAAAACAAUAGCUGGUUUCCACUUUGAAUUAUUUAUUAUCAGAAAUCGUUACUGAAUUAAAAAAAACCCUUCAUGGAAUUCAGUAGGAAGUCCCUUAUGAAAAACAAGGAUUCUCUCUCGAAUUUAGUAUGGAUCCCAAAAGGAUUCUAGAAACAAAACCGAAAGGACUAGCCUUAUUUGAUAGAGUUUUUCAGUGGUCGUGAAUUCUUUUAGUGACCGUAGAUCCUGCCGUAGAUAUUUAGUUUUAAUUUUCAUAACGAAUUGAAUCAAUACAUACACCUAGGAUUAUUUUUAUUUAGGUUUUGCCAGUCUUGUCAAUCUCAUCGUCUCAAAUCAUCAUCGGAGAACUAGGCAUUCCGAAAAGAUGGAUCUUAUGAACCAAAAGGAUCAGGGCUGGAUUACGGUUCUGCUAUCACCUUCUACACCGCUGUAAGCCGAUCCCCAAGCCCAAGCACACGAGGUUACCAUGGAGCAUACCACGGCGGAUUAUGUGAUCAAUUAUGACCUACCCUAUCUUAAGUUAUUGCUAGAGGAAUUCGAGGACGCCAAACAAAUUUCCUAUUAAUCUUAGUAUCAAUGGCAUUAGAUUUCGACCCGAGGUUAUAGAGCUUAAUGAGAAAUUUAACCUCCGGGAAACAAUUGACGGAGGUGAUCGAGGUUCGUCUAGAGGAGCAAGUUGCUCAACUUUGAUAAUAAAAUGACCCCCAUUCGGUUCACGCAGGAUCCUCGCAUCAACAGAGCUAUGUGCUGAAAAGAAGCCAACUGGAAAGCUGUCCUUUCCACAGCAUGAAAGGAUUCAGAAUGUAAUCUAAAAUUGAUUCCACAAUAGGGUAACCGUACCCUUAGUGGAGGUAGCACCAAUAGUGGAGGUAGUGGGGUUUAAUGAGAUUUAUCAUAUUUAUAGGCUUUACGAUGGUUUCAGUUGAUGCGUCGUGCUUUAAAUAUCCUGUUAAAUGCAACUUACCUUAAUAUUUCGCUUCAAAAACUAUUGAAAACAAUGAUUUUCCUUAACAAAAUUGACUCCCUUGCACCUAUAGUGGUGCAACUGUACCAAUAGUGGCGAGUCUCAUAAGAAACCAAUGGAUAGCACCACUAUAGGAACCAAAAUUAAUUUUUACCGCCACUAAAGGAACAGUGUACCCAUACUGGUGCAAGCAAUAUUUGGUAAUUGUUGAUGUUAAAUGACAUCUAUCUCAUUUUUGUUAGCAAAUUUAUUAGUCUAUCUAUUGACUAAGAUAAUAAAGCAGUAAAUUUCCCACAAUUAUCAAUUUAAAAAAAAAUCUUUUGAGGAUCUACUAAUACCUCCACUAUUGGUGCCGUUACCCUAUGUGAUUUCGAAUGAGUAACGAAUGGAAUGACGAGUAUACCAAAUGUAAUUCUUACAGAAUUCCAUUCGUAAGCCAGUCGGUAUUCUAUUCUGAAUCUAUAUGUUUUUUCGGAAUUCUUCCGAGAUUUCAGUCGAAAUAUUUUCGGUACUCCAUUCAGAAUCCUUGCGGGAUUCCAAUCGCAAUUAUUCAGGGAUUAAAUUCAAAAUUCUUUAAGGGUUCCAUACAUAGUCUAUUUACAUAUCUUAUUAAUUUCCAUUCGCAUUCUACACAAUCAUUCCACGGAAUUCCAUUCAUAAUCCGUUCGGAGUUCUACACUUUGAGCACUUUUGUGGAAUUUUGAAAGUAUUUCUAAUGAUAUUCCGCAAUGAUUUCGAAUAGAAUACAAAGGGAAAUCCAUAAAGAAUUCCGAAUGGAAUCCCAAAAAUGAUUUCGAACGGAAUUCCAAAAGAAUUUCGGAUUUUAUCCCCACACAACUACCAACGGAAUUCCAAAUAAAAUACCGAACGACGAAAGGUUUCCUGAGGGGUUCGGAAAAAUAACUCGAGUGGAUUCCACAUGUGAUUCUAAAAUUAAUCCGAAUCGAACCCGGAAAGAAUUCCGAGUGGAAUCCAUUCGAGUUCUCAUUCAGAAUCUUUCCGUGAUUCCCUUCGAAGUUUCGUGGGAAUUCUAUUCGUACUCCUUUGGGGAGAAAAUUCAAAAUUCUUUUGGUAUUUGAUUCGAAAUAAUCGUGGCAUUUCAUUUGGAUCAUUUUGAAAUUUCAUAGUGUGCUAUAGGGAAGUAUGGAGGCAAGAAAGAAGAAUGGAAUCCCACAAAGAUUUCGAAUAAAAUCUCAAGAGGAUUCUGAUUGACUGAUGAAGCAGAUGAAAUAGCGAAAAGGUUUGGAAUGGAAUACCAAAAGGGUUACGAAUGAAAUUCCGAAAGGAUAGCGAAUGGUAUCACGUGAGGUUUGUGAAUUGAACCCCAAGAUUAUCCUUUCGAUUUGGUAUUGAGAUUUCAUUAGCUAUCCUUUCGCAACUUAUUAAAAAAAAUCGGAACCUUUCAGAAUUCUAUUUCUCAUCCUUUGAGAAGUUUAUUCUCAAUACUUUAAGGAUCAACUUCGAAUUUACUGGUGAUUCCUUUCAAAACCAUUCUUGGGAAUCUGUUUGGAUUCCCCUAAAGAUUCCAAUUGUGUAGGGAUUCUAUCCGGAAACCUUUCGAGAUUCCACAAACAGUGCUUCAGCUUUUCGGUCUGAUUUUGUUUCAGGAUUUUAUUUGGAAUAAUUUCGAUGUUCCUAUUGUAUUUUUGUGAUUCCAUGCGCUUCCUGGAACUCCUUUCGGUAUACUUUCAGGAUUUCUUUCGGGAAUCCCGGGAAGGAUUUCGAAACGAACUCUCAAUGAAUGGAUGGAUUGUUCAAAUGCUAUUUGGAAAUAAUUGCGAACCUGGACCCUGGAAAUUAUUCCUAUUGAAAUCCUUAGGGAAUUUCCAAUAAUUUAUAGAAUCUUAACAUAUCUAAAUUCCAAUGCCCCUGCUGCCCCUACUCGAUUCCAUGGAGUUGGUAUAUCAUUCUCACAAUCUUUACCCAAUUUACGGGCGCAUUCCCGAGUAGAA
Molecule: long non-coding RNA, 2925 nt
Organism: Armigeres subalbatus
Lineage: Eukaryota; Metazoa; Arthropoda; Insecta; Diptera; Culicidae
Exons: 3
Source: RefSeq, a predicted model, not a curated record